UGGAACUGAAGCAGGAGCAUCAUUAACAACGAGCUCAAUUUGGCAGAUGCAUCAAUAGUUGUGGGCUCAACUUGGGCAGGUGCAUCAACUGUUGCGGGCUCAACUUGGCUUGCAGCAACAUGCUCGAUUGGGCUUGAAAGAGUUGCGAUACCAGAAUAAGCUUCAACGUUCAUGGAAGCUUCAGCUACGGGAGAAGGAAAGUCUUUAGCCAAUUUGGAUUCCAAGUUAAAGUUUUCUUGGCUAGUUUCGAUUAAGGUAUCACGGCGUGAAUUCAAAAAUGGCCAACUCACCUCAAUAGCAG
Molecule: long non-coding RNA, 301 nt
Filed under: Nicotiana benthamiana
Lineage: Eukaryota; Viridiplantae; Streptophyta; Magnoliopsida; Solanales; Solanaceae
Description: long non-coding RNA (NBEN_LNC009361)
Source: RNAcentral